Molecule: ribosomal RNA, 460 nt
Filed under: uncultured bacterium
Lineage: Bacteria
Description: partial 16S ribosomal RNA
Rfam family: Bacterial small subunit ribosomal RNA
Source: RNAcentral
CCUACGGGCGGCAGCAGUGAGGAAUAUUGGUCAAUGGCCGGAAGGCUGAACCAGCCAUGCCGCGUGAAGGUCAGUGCCCUAUGGGCGUUAAACUUCUUUUGUGCGGGAGCAAUAAUGGUCACGUGUGGCCAGACGAGAGUACCGUACGAAUAAGCAUCGGCUAACUCCGUGCCAGAAGCCGCGGUAAUACGGGGGAUGCAAGCGUUAUCCGGAUUUAUUGGGUUUUAAGGGUGCGUAGGUUGGGAGGUAAGUCAGCGGUGAAAUGCCCCGGCUCAAAGGGGUGAAGUGCCAUUGAUACUGCCGUGCUGGAAUGCGGAUGCCGUAGGAGGAAUGUGUGGUGUAGCGGUGAAAUGCAUAGAUAACACACAGAACACCGAUUGCGAAGGCAUCUCACGAAUCCGCGAUUGACGCUGAUGCACGAAAGCGUGGGUAUCAAACAGGAUUAGAUACCCCUGUAGUC